GAUGAACGCUGGCGGCGUGCUUAACACAUGCAAGUCGAACGGUGAACGAGGGAGCUUGCUCCCUCCGGAUCAGUGGCGAACGGGUGAGUAACACGUGAGUAACCUGCCCUUGACUCUGGGAUAAGCGUUGGAAACGACGUCUAAUACCGGAUACGACCUUCGGAGGCAUCUCCUGGGGGUGGAAAGAAUUUCGGUCAAGGAUGGACUCGCGGCCUAUCAGCUAGUUGGUGAGGUAAUGGCUCACCAAGGCGACGACGGGUAGCCGGCCUGAGAGGGUGACCGGCCACACUGGGACUGAGACACGGCCCAGACUCCUACGGGAGGCAGCAGUGGGGAAUAUUGCACAAUGGGCGCAAGCCUGAUGCAGCAACGCCGCGUGAGGGACGACGGCCUUCGGGUUGUAAACCUCUUUUAGUAGGGAAGAAGCGAAAGUGACGGUACCUGCAGAAAAAGCACCGGCUAACUACGUGCCAGCCGCCGCAGUAAGAC
Molecule: ribosomal RNA, 489 nt
Filed under: uncultured bacterium
Lineage: Bacteria
Description: bacterial SSU rRNA
Rfam family: Bacterial small subunit ribosomal RNA
Source: RNAcentral